RNAcentral lists this ribosomal RNA (508 nucleotides) under uncultured bacterium. Its description in RNAcentral is "bacterial SSU rRNA". It matches the Rfam family "Bacterial small subunit ribosomal RNA", at positions 32 to 515 of the family's 1533-position model. The record is from RNAcentral.
AAUCAACGCUGGCGGCGUGCCUCAGACAUGCGAGUCGAACGCGAAAGCUCCCUUCGGGGAGCAAGUAGAGUGGCGCACGGGUGAGUAACACGUAGGUAAUCUACCUUUGGAUGGGGAAUAACAACCGGAAACGGUUGCUAAUACCGCAUAAUGCAGCGGCACCUAAUGGUGACAGUUGUUAAAGCGGGGGAUCGCAAGACCUCGCGUCUGAAGAGGAGCCUGCGGCAGAUUAGCUAGUUGGUAAGGUAACGGCUUACCAAGGCGAUGAUCUGUAGCCGGCCUGAGAGGGCGGUCGGCCACACUGACACUGACAUACGGGUCAGACUCCUACGGGAGGCAGCAGUCGGGAAUUUUGGGCAAUGGGCGAAAGCCUGACCCAGCAACGCCGCGUGAAGGAUGAAAUCCCUCGGGAUGUAAACUUCGCAAGAACGGGAAGAAUAAGUCGGUGUAAACACCACCGACGAUGACGGUACUGUUUGUAAGCUCCGGCUAACUCCGUGCCAGCACG